Molecule: RNase P RNA, 445 nt
Filed under: Planctomycetota bacterium
Lineage: Bacteria; Pseudomonadati; Planctomycetota
Description: RNase P RNA component class A
Rfam family: Bacterial RNase P class A
About the family: Ribonuclease P (RNase P) is a ubiquitous endoribonuclease, found in archaea, bacteria and eukarya as well as chloroplasts and mitochondria. Its best characterised activity is the generation of mature 5'-ends of tRNAs by cleaving the 5'-leader elements of precursor-tRNAs.
Source: RNAcentral
CGCGGCCGCUGUGACGAUCGCGCCCGGAGCAAUCCGGGUGAGGAAAGUCCGAACUGCGGGAGGGAGGCGCCGUUCAUCACGGCACGCCCUCUUUUAGGGCCCGGUGCUUGAUAACGUCAAGGCGGAGCAAUCCGACGGAAAGUGCAACAGAAAGGAUACCGCCUCAGCGGCAACGCUGGGGUAAGGGUGAAAUGGUGCGGUAAGAGCGCACCGCGCCGAGGGUGACUUCGGCGGCCAGGUAAACCCCACCGGCAGCAAGGCCAAAUAAGCGGAGAGUUGCGGCCCGCAACAUGUUGUUUGCAGUGUGGAAACGCCCUGCAACACAGCGCAUCCGCGGGUAGGCUGCUUGAGCCGAUUGGUGACAAUCGGCCCAGAGAAAUGAUCGUCGCAGUCAGUGAGAAAAUCGCUGCUGCAACAGAACUCGGCUUACACGCGACCGCGACCA